RNAcentral lists this ribosomal RNA (450 nucleotides) under uncultured bacterium. RNAcentral's name for it is "bacterial SSU rRNA". It matches the Rfam family "Bacterial small subunit ribosomal RNA", at positions 354 to 796 of the family's 1533-position model. The record is from RNAcentral.
GUGGGGAAUAUUGGACAAUGGGCGAAAGCCUGAUCCAGCCAUGCCGCGUGUGUGAAGAAGGUCUUCGGAUUGUAAAGCACUUUAAGUUGGGAGGAAGGGCAGUAAGUUAAUACCUUGCUGUUUUGACGUUACCGACAGAAUAAGCACCGGCUAACUUCGUGCCAGCAGCCGCGGUAAUACGAAGGGUGCAAGCGUUAAUCGGAAUUACUGGGCGUAAAGCGCGCGUAGGUGGUUUUGUAAGUUGGAGGUGAAAUCCCCGGGCUCAACCUGGGAACUGUCUCAAAAACUGCAUGACUAGAGUACGGGAGAGGGUAGUGGAAUUUCCUGUGUAGCGGUGAAAUGCGUAGAUAUAGGAAGGAACACCAGUGGCGAAGGCGACUACCUGGACUGAUACUGACACUGAGGUGCGAAAGCGUGGGGAGCAAACAGGAUUAGAAACCCGAGUAGUCC